RNAcentral lists this ribosomal RNA (566 nucleotides) under Salmonella enterica subsp. enterica serovar Thompson. Its description in RNAcentral is "partial 23S ribosomal RNA". It matches the Rfam family "Bacterial large subunit ribosomal RNA", at positions 1 to 597 of the family's 2925-position model. RNAcentral also lists the same sequence under 1 other name. Lineage: Bacteria; Pseudomonadati; Pseudomonadota; Gammaproteobacteria; Enterobacterales; Enterobacteriaceae. The record is from RNAcentral.
GGGUUGUGAGGUUAAGCGACUAAGCGUACACGGUGGAUGCCCUGGCAGUCAGAGGCGAUGAAGGGCGUGCUAAUCUGCGAUAAGCGCCGGUAAGGUGAUAUGAACCGUUAUAACCGGCGAUACCCGAAUGGGGAAACCCAGUGUGAUUCGUCACACUAUCAUUAACUGAAUCCAUAGGUUAAUGAGGCGAACCGGGGGAACUGAAACAUCUAAGUACCCCGAGGAAAAGAAAUCAACCGAGAUUCCCCCAGUAGCGGCGAGCGAACGGGGAGGAGCCCAGAGCCUGAAUCAGCAUGUGUGUUAGUGGAAGCGUCUGGAAAGGCGCGCGAUACAGGGUGACAGCCCCGUACACAAAAGCGCAUGUGCUGUGAGCUCGAUGAGUAGGGCGGGACACGUGGUAUCCUGUCUGAAUAUGGGGGGACCAUCCUCCAAGGCUAAAUACUCCUGACUGACCGAUAGUGAACCAGUACCGUGAGGGAAAGGCGAAAAGAACCCCGGCGAGGGGAGUGAAAAAGAACCUGAAACCGUGUACGUACAAGCAGUGGGAGCACCCUUCGGGGUGUGAC